RNAcentral lists this ribosomal RNA (449 nucleotides) under uncultured bacterium. Its description in RNAcentral is "partial 16S ribosomal RNA". It matches the Rfam family "Bacterial small subunit ribosomal RNA", at positions 29 to 523 of the family's 1533-position model. The record is from RNAcentral.
AGCGAACGCUGGCGGCAGGCCUAACACAUGCAAGUCGAGCGCCGUAGCAAUACGGAGCGGCAGACGGGAUAGUAACACGUGGGAACGUGCCCUUUGGUUCGGAAUAACUCAGUGAAACUUGAGCUAAUACCGGAUGAGCCCUUACGGGGAAAGAUUUAUUGCCAUUGGAGCGGCCCGCGUCGGAUUAGCUAGUUGUUGGGGUAAUGGCUCACCAAGGCGACGAUCCGUAGCUGGUCUGAGAGGAUGACCAGCAUCACGGGGACUGAGACACGGCCCAGACUCCUACGGGAGGCAGCAGUGGGGAAUAUUGGACAAUGGGCGCAAGCCUGAUCCAGCCAUGCCGCGUGGAUGAUGAAGGCCCUAGGGUUGUAAAGUCCUUUUAACGGGGAAGAUAAUGACGGUACCCGUAGAAUAAGCCCCGGCUAACUUCGUGCCAGCCGCCGCCGUAA